This 46-nucleotide non-coding RNA is filed under the name Streptomyces sp. CNH287. RNAcentral's name for it is "L31-Actinobacteria ribosomal protein leader". It matches the Rfam family "L31-Actinobacteria ribosomal protein leader". Lineage: Bacteria; Bacillati; Actinomycetota; Actinomycetes; Kitasatosporales; Streptomycetaceae. The record is from RNAcentral.
UCGGUUCCGGUUCACGUGGGGCAAAUCCGCCCCGCGACCCGGCGCC